GUGGAAUUCUCAGAUUUGUUAAAGACUAACUUAUGCGAAAGCAUUUGCCAAGGAUGGUUUCAUUGAUCAAGAACGAAAGU
This 80-nucleotide ribosomal RNA is filed under the name uncultured eukaryote. RNAcentral describes it as "partial small subunit ribosomal RNA". The record is from RNAcentral.